This 635-nucleotide ribosomal RNA is filed under the name Polaribacter irgensii 23-P. RNAcentral's name for it is "bacterial SSU rRNA". It matches the Rfam family "Bacterial small subunit ribosomal RNA", at positions 1 to 633 of the family's 1533-position model. The record is from RNAcentral. Lineage: Bacteria; Pseudomonadati; Bacteroidota; Flavobacteriia; Flavobacteriales; Flavobacteriaceae.
UACAAUGAAGAGUUUGAUCCUGGCUCAGGAUGAACGCUAGCGGCAGGCUUAACACAUGCAAGUCGAGGGGUAACAUUGUGCUUGCACAGAUGACGACCGGCGCACGGGUGCGUAACGCGUAUAGAACCUACCUUUUACAGGGGAAUAGCCUUUAGAAAUGAAGAUUAAUGCCCCAUAGUAUUGAGACUUGGCAUCAAGUUUUAAUUAAAGAUUUAUCGGUAAAAGAUGGCUAUGCGUCCUAUUAGUUAGUUGGUAAGGUAACGGCUUACCAAGACAUCGAUAGGUAGGGGUCCUGAGAGGGAGAUCCCCCACACUGGUACUGAGACACGGACCAGACUCCUACGGGAGGCAGCAGUGAGGAAUAUUGGACAAUGGAGGCAACUCUGAUCCAGCCAUGCCGCGUGUAGGAAGAAUGCCCUAUGGGUUGUAAACUACUUUUAUACAGGAAGAAACACUGGUAUGUAUACCAGCUUGACGGUACUGUAAGAAUAAGGACCGGCUAACUCCGUGCCAGCAGCCGCGGUAAUACGGAUGGUCCGAGCGUUAUCCGGAAUCAUUGGGUUUAAAGGGUCCGCAGCGGUCUAUUAAGUCAGAGUGAAAUCCCAUAGCUCAACUAUGGAACUGCCUUUGGAUAC